GAUGAACGCUGGCGGCGUGCUUAACACAUGCAAGUCGAACGAUGAAGCCCAGCUUGCUGGGUGGAUUAGUGGCGAACGGGUGAGUAACACGUGAGUAACCUGCCCUUGACUCUGGGAUAAGCCUGGGAAACUGGGUCUAAUACUGGAUAUGACUUCUCAUCGCAUGGUGGGGGGUGGAAAGAUUUAUUGGUUUUGGAUGGACUCGCGGCCUAUCAGCUUGUUGGUGAGGUAAUGGCUCACCAAGGCGACGACGGGUAGCCGGCAUGAGAGGGUGACCGGCCACACGGGGACUGAGAGACGGCCCAGACUCCUACGGGAGGCAGCAGUGGGGAAUAUUGCACAAUGGGCGCAAGCCUGAUGCAGCGACGCCGCGUGAGGGAUGACGGCCUUCGGGUUGUAAACCUCUUUCAGUAGGGAAGAAGCGAGAGUGACGGUACCUGCAGAAGAAGCGCCGGCUAACUACGUG
RNAcentral lists this ribosomal RNA (466 nucleotides) under uncultured bacterium. RNAcentral's name for it is "partial 16S ribosomal RNA". It matches the Rfam family "Bacterial small subunit ribosomal RNA", at positions 28 to 507 of the family's 1533-position model. The record is from RNAcentral.